This 691-nucleotide ribosomal RNA is filed under the name Arthrobacter sp. A-21p. RNAcentral's name for it is "bacterial SSU rRNA". It matches the Rfam family "Bacterial small subunit ribosomal RNA", at positions 33 to 730 of the family's 1533-position model. The record is from RNAcentral. Lineage: Bacteria; Bacillati; Actinomycetota; Actinomycetes; Micrococcales; Micrococcaceae.
AUCAUGGCGGCGUGCUUACCAUGCAGUCGAACGAUGAACCUCACUUGUGGGGGGAUUAGUGGCGAACGGGUGAGUAACACGUGAGUAACCUGCCCUUAACUCUGGGAUAAGCCUUGGAAACGGGGUCUAAUACUGGAUAUUGACUUUACCUCGCAUGGGGUUUGGUUGAAAGAUUUAUUGGUUUUGGAUGGACUCGCGGCCUAUCAGCUUGUUGGUGAGGUAAUGGCUCACCAAGGCGACGACGGGUAGCCGGCCUGAGAGGGUGACCGGCCACACUGGGACUGAGACACGGCCCAGACUCCUACGGGAGGCAGCAGUGGGGAAUAUUGCACAAUGGGCGAAAGCCUGAUGCAGCGACGCCGCGUGAGGGAUGACGGCCUUCGGGUUGUAAACCUCUUUCAGUAGGGAACAAGGCCAGUGUUUAGCUGGUUGAGGGUACUUGCAGAAGAAGCGACGGCUAACUACGUGCCAGCAGCCGCGGUAAUACGUGAGGCGCAAGCGUUAUUCCGAAUUAUUGGGCGUAAAGAGCUCGUAGGCGGUUUGUCGCGUCUGCCGUGAAAGUCCCGGGCUCAACCCCGGAUCUGCGGUGGGUACGGGCAGACUAGAGUGAUGUAGGGGAGACUGGAAUACCUGGUGUAGCGGUGAAAUGCGCAGAUAUCAGGAGGAACACCGAUGGCGAAGGCGGGUCUCU